UUCCGGUUGAUCCCGCCGGAGGUCACUGCUAUUGGGAUUCGACUAAGCCAUGCGAGUCGAGAGGGUUCGGCCCUCGGCUGACGGCUCAGUAACACGUGGAUAAUCUGCCCUUAGGUGGAGGAUACCCUCGGGAAACUGAGAAUAAUACUCCAUAGAUCUAGGAUGCUGGAAUGCACCUAGAUUGAAAGUUCCGGCGCCUAAGGAUGAGUCUGCGGACUAUCAGGUUGUAGUCAGGGUAAUGACCUGACUAGCCUACGACGGAUACGGGUUGUGAGAGCAAUAACCCGGAGACGAUAUCUGAGACACGAUAUCGGGCCCUACGGGGCGCAGCAGGCGCGAAAACUUCACACUGUGCGAAAGCACGAUGAGGGAAUCCCAAGUGCCAGCUCGCAAGAGUUGGCUGUUUCUCUGUCUAAAAAACAGAGAGAGUAAGAGCUGGGUAAGACGGGUGCCAGCCGCCGCGGUAAUACCUGCAGCUCGAGUGGUGGUCGCUAUUAUUGGGCCUAAAACGUUCGUAGCCGGUUUAGUAAAUGUCUGGGUAAAUCGUGUAGCUUAACUAUACGAAUUCCGGGUAGACUGCUAAACUUGAGACUGGGAGAGGCUAGAGGUACUCCUGGGGUAGAGGUGAAAUUCUGUAAUCCUGGGGGGACCACCAGUGGCGAAGGCGUCUAGCUAGAACAGGUCUGACGGUGAGGAACGAAGCCCUGGGGCGCAAACCGGAUUAGAUACCCGGGUAGUCCAGGGUGUAAACGCUGCUUGCUUGAUGUUAGUUGGGCUCCGAGCCCAAUUAGUGUCGGAGAGAAGUUGUUAAGCAAGCUGCCUGGGAAGUACGGUCGCAAGACUGAAACUUAAAGGAAUUGGCGGGGGAGCACAGCAACGGGUGGAGCGUGCGGUUUAAUUGGAGUCAACGCCGGA
RNAcentral lists this ribosomal RNA (915 nucleotides) under uncultured archaeon. RNAcentral describes it as "bacterial SSU rRNA". It matches the Rfam family "Archaeal small subunit ribosomal RNA", at positions 1 to 922 of the family's 1478-position model. The record is from RNAcentral.